AUUGAACGCUGGCGGCAUGCUUUACACAUGCAAGUCGAACGGCAGCGCGGGCUUCGGCCUGGCGGCGAGUGGCGCACGGGUGAGUAAUACAUCGGAACGUGCCCAGUAGUGGGGGAUAGCCCGGCGAGAGCCGGAUUAAUACCACAUACUACCUGAGGGUGAAAGCGGGGGAGCGAAAGGCCUCGCGCUAUGUGAGCGGCCGAUGUCGGAUUAGCUAGUUGGUGGGGUAAAGGCUUACCAAGGCGACGAUCCGUAGCUGGUCUGAGAGGACGACCAGCCACACUGGGACUGAGACACGGCCCAGACUCCUACGGGAGGCAGCAGUGGGGAAUUUUGGACAAUGGGGGCAAACCUGAUCCAGCCAUGCCGCGUGCGGGAAGAAGGCCUUCGGGUUGUAAACCGCUUUUGUUCGGGAAGAAAUCCUCUGGGCUAAUACCCCGGGGGGAUGACGGUACCGGAAGAAUAAGCACCGGCUAACUACGUG
This 484-nucleotide ribosomal RNA is filed under the name uncultured bacterium. RNAcentral describes it as "partial 16S ribosomal RNA". It matches the Rfam family "Bacterial small subunit ribosomal RNA", at positions 29 to 507 of the family's 1533-position model. The record is from RNAcentral.